Nanorana parkeri is the source of this 310-nucleotide long non-coding RNA. RefSeq lists it as uncharacterized. The record is from RefSeq and is a predicted model, not a curated record. NCBI's taxonomy places the organism in Eukaryota, Metazoa, Chordata, Amphibia, Anura, Dicroglossidae. The transcript is spliced from 3 exons.
UCUUGAAGACGGACCCUUGUGUUGUGUGUCAUUGUUAUGCCGGGGAUGUGCAAUGUGAACAGAGGGAAGGCUCCUGUACUCCUUGUGAGCAGAAGACUCAGGACUGUCUGAAUGAAGUUUCAGAACCUUUCAGCACUAAGCAGCUACAAUAUUCCCAGCAAGAUGCUGGACAAGUCAACGUUCCACUGAAGAUACUGAGUGCCACUAAAUCUCCAGUAUUUCUCAGUCUAUCUUUAUCACAAAAGCUGCUUACGAGAAGGAAUUUAGUUACUACAGUCUCAUCCUCUCCCAUCUCUAGUUCUGUUCCCCA